This 74-nucleotide transfer RNA is filed under the name Bacteroidota bacterium. Its description in RNAcentral is "Bacteroidetes bacterium tRNA-His". It matches the Rfam family "tRNA". Rfam says of the family: Transfer RNA (tRNA) molecules are approximately 80 nucleotides in length. Their secondary structure includes four short double-helical elements and three loops (D, anti-codon, and T loops). Further hydrogen bonds mediate the characteristic L-shaped molecular structure. tRNAs have two regions of fundamental functional importance: the anti-codon, which is responsible for specific mRNA codon recognition, and the 3' end, to which the tRNAs corresponding amino acid is attached (by aminoacyl-tRNA synthetases). tRNAs cope with the degeneracy of the genetic code in two manners: having more than one tRNA (with a specific anti-codon) for a particular amino acid; and 'wobble' base-pairing, i.e. permitting non-standard base-pairing at the 3rd anti-codon position. Lineage: Bacteria; Pseudomonadati; Bacteroidota. The record is from RNAcentral.
GUGGGUGUAGCUCAGUUGGUUAGAGUACCAGAUUGUGAUUCUGGGUGUCGUGGGUUCAAGUCCCAUCAUCCACC